Molecule: long non-coding RNA, 582 nt
Filed under: Arabidopsis thaliana (thale cress)
Lineage: Eukaryota; Viridiplantae; Streptophyta; Magnoliopsida; Brassicales; Brassicaceae
Description: long non-coding RNA (ATHA_LNC000625)
Source: RNAcentral
UCUGAGUAUGUCUGACUGGCAUAAUUGUAAAAUACAGCCUCUACAUGUGAGUUAUGCUUCAGACAAAGGAGGUAACACCAUCGAAGUACAUUGGUACACGAGAAAAGCUAACCUCCACCAUGUAAGAACUGCGAAACGCAUCUAUUAUUUCAGCAUCAGAUAGUACAAAGUUUUAAACUUUAGAUUCAUACAGAUAUGGGAUUCCAACAUUAUCGAAACAGCUGAAGCAGAUCUCUAUAACUCUGCACUAGAAGGAAUGGUGGAUGCACUCAAAAAGAAUAUCACGGUACUAAUGCAACAAAACUACUGUUCUCUACAUGUAUGCUACAAGGUGUUUCUGACUUGCUGACAUGUAUUAAUAAAAUGCAGACAGAAUGGGCAGAUCAAGUUAAGAGAUGGGAGACCUGCACAAAGAAGACAGCAUGUCCAGACAUGUAAGUAUGAUAAUAGUACCUUUGAAUAGAAGUGGUUCUUCUUCAUGCCAGCAAGAAGCAGAUUUAACUUCCAAUUGCUUUCCCCCUGUAAACUUUUUUAGAUACGCAUCCGAAGGAAUUCAAGCAGCCUGUGACUGGGCAUACAAGG